GUGGGGAAUUUUGGACAAUGGGCGCAAGCCUGAUCCAGCAAUGCCGCGUGCAGGAAGAAGGCCUUCGGGUUGUAAACUGCUUUUGUACGGAACGAAACGGUCCUGGUUAAUACCUGGGGCUAAUAACGGUACCGUAAGAAUAAGCACCGGCUAACUACGUGCCAGCAGCCGCGGUAAUACGUAGGGUGCGAGCGUUAAUCGGAAUUACUGGGCGUAAAGCGUGCGCAGGCGGUGCUGUAAGACAGGCGUGAAAUCCCCGGGCUCAACCUGGGAAUUGCGCUUGUGACUGCAGUGCUGGAGUACGGCAGAGGGGGAUGGAAUUCCGCGUGUAGCAGUGAAAUGCGUAGAUAUGCGGAGGAACACCGAUGGCGAAGGCAGUCCCCUGGGCCUGUACUGACGCUCAUGCACGAAAGCGUGGGGAGCAAACAGGAUUAGAAACCCGUGUAGUCC
This 450-nucleotide ribosomal RNA is filed under the name uncultured bacterium. Its description in RNAcentral is "partial 16S ribosomal RNA". It matches the Rfam family "Bacterial small subunit ribosomal RNA", at positions 354 to 796 of the family's 1533-position model. The record is from RNAcentral.